UUCCCUAUGGCCCAAUGGUCAAGGCGUCUGACUACGGAUCAGAAGAUUCCAGGUUCGACUCCUGGUGGGGAAG
This 73-nucleotide transfer RNA is filed under the name Millerozyma farinosa CBS 7064. RNAcentral's name for it is "tRNA-Arg (ACG) (tRNA-Arg-ACG-3-1)". It matches the Rfam family "tRNA". From Rfam's summary of the family: Transfer RNA (tRNA) molecules are approximately 80 nucleotides in length. Lineage: Eukaryota; Fungi; Ascomycota; Pichiomycetes; Serinales; Debaryomycetaceae. The record is from RNAcentral.